CCAGGCAUUCACAAUACAGCUGCUGACCAGUUAUCUAGUCUUCAGUUUCAUGCGUUCAGGAGGUCCCUAACAACUGCCUCACCUAUAGCCACGAUCACUCCCCAACUCUAAGAAUUACCUAUGGAAUAGAAGAGUGGCUAAGUCACAGCAAGAAUUCAUACAGUUGACCCUCAAAGAAUACGCACACUGCUAUGACAGAGUUUAC
This is a non-coding RNA of Pelobates cultripes (western spadefoot toad), 205 nucleotides long. Lineage: Eukaryota; Metazoa; Chordata; Amphibia; Anura; Pelobatidae. The record is from the annotation of a GenBank genome assembly.